AACUGAUUGAACGUGCUUGCACGGACUUGACGUUGGUUUACCAGCGAGUGGCGGACGGGUGAGUAACACGUAGGUAACCUGCCCCAAAGCGGGGGAUAACAUUUGGAAACAGAUGCUAAUACCGCAUAACAAUUUGAAUCGCAUGAUUCAAAUUUAAAAGAUGGCUUCGGCUAUCACUUUGGGAUGGACCUGCGGCGCAUUAGCUUGUUGGUAGGGUAACGGCCUACCAAGGCUGUGAUGCGUAGCCGAGUUGAGAGACUGAUCGGCCACAAUGGAACUGAGACACGGUCCAUACUCCUACGGGAGGCAGCAGUAGGGAAUCUUCCACAAUGGGCGCAAGCCUGAUGGAGCAACACCGCGUGAGUGAAGAAGGGUUUCGGCUCGUAAAGCUCUGUUGUUAGAGAAGAACGUGCGUGAGAGCAACUGUUCACGCAGUGACGGUAUCUAACCAGAAAGUCACGGCUAACUACGUGCCAGCAGCCGCGGUAAUACGUAGGUGGCAAGCGUUAUCCGGAUUUAUUGGGCGUAAAGCGAGCGCAGGCGGUUUGAUAAGUCUGAUGUGAAAGCCUUUGGCUUAACCAAAGAAGUGCAUCGGAAACUGUCAGACUUGAGUGCAGAAGAGGACAGUGGAACUCCAUGUGUAGCGGUGGAAUGCGUAGAUAUAUGGAAGAACACCAGUGGCGAAGGCGGCUGUCUGGUCUGCAACU
RNAcentral lists this ribosomal RNA (707 nucleotides) under uncultured Bacilli bacterium. RNAcentral's name for it is "bacterial SSU rRNA". It matches the Rfam family "Bacterial small subunit ribosomal RNA", at positions 64 to 741 of the family's 1533-position model. Lineage: Bacteria; Bacillati; Bacillota; Bacilli. The record is from RNAcentral.